UGUAUCUGUGAGAGAAAAGGGCAGAAUCCCGGCCCGGACACGGACAGGAUUGACAGAUUGAUAGCUCUUUCUCGAUUCCGUGGGUGGUGGUGCAUGGCCGUUCUUAGUUGGUGGAGCGAUUUGUCUGGUUAAUUCCGAUAACGAACGAGACUCUGGCAUGCUAACUAGUUACGUGACCCCCGAGCGGUCAGCGUCCCCCAACUUCUUAGAGGGACAAGUGGCGUUCAGCCACCCGAGAUUGAGCAAUAACAGGUCUGUGAUGCCCUUAGAUGUCCGGGGCUGCACGCGCGCUACACUGACUGGCUCAGCGUGUGCCUACCCUACGCCGGCAGGCGCGGGUAACUAGUUACGCGACCUCAGAUCAGACGUGGCGACCCGCUGAAUUUAAGCAUAUUAGUCAGCGGAGGAA
Molecule: non-coding RNA, 409 nt
Filed under: Erinaceus europaeus (western European hedgehog)
Lineage: Eukaryota; Metazoa; Chordata; Mammalia; Eulipotyphla; Erinaceidae
Description: Eukaryotic small subunit ribosomal RNA
Rfam family: Eukaryotic small subunit ribosomal RNA
Source: Rfam by way of RNAcentral